Hyla sarda is the source of this 2047-nucleotide long non-coding RNA. RefSeq lists it as uncharacterized. The transcript has 3 exons. The record is from RefSeq and is a predicted model, not a curated record. Lineage: Eukaryota; Metazoa; Chordata; Amphibia; Anura; Hylidae.
CCCGCCACUGAACGGGAAAAGGUAAGUACCGUUGUCACCAGUGUCACCUGCACUAUCUGUCAGUACUGCCACUUUUGUGUAGGUGACACUGGUGACAUAUUUCCAUUAAAAACAAUAAAAGAAAAAGAAGGUUAAUAAAAUAAUUAAAAAAGAAAAAAAACGUCUACAAAAAUAUCCCUAAAAAAACAUAUUUUAUAUGAAAUAUAAAAUUAAGAAAAUAGAAAAAAUAUAUAAAAAUUGCCCCAAAAACUAUGUAACCCCAUACAAAUCCCUCACAAUGCCAUAACCAUGCACUGCCUGUCAGAAUAAUGCUAAGAGGAAUAAUACACUGCACCACAAUAGUAGUGCAGUGUUUUAUAGAAAUAAUCAGAUCUUUGGUGAAAGGUUGCCCUCUAAUGGGAAUAUGGGUGAAAAAAACAACCCAUAAAAUAAAAGUGUACUAACAUGAUUUAUUGACACCCUCCCUCCCCCACCAACAAAAAAAGAAAAAGAAAACAGUAGAAAGGCAGAAAUGCUUUUGAAAAAAGAAAUACACAAUAAUAAUUUAUAACAUUUUCUGCCCCCUCCCCCAAAGAAAACAUAUAUUACCCUUAAAAUGUAUGAAUAAAUAAAUGAAAAUGAAGACAUAACCCAAACAUUACAAAAACAAACCCUCCAAAAACCUGUCAAUAGUCUGCGUCAACAUCAUCCUGGGAUGAUGGGAGGAGUAGUACACUGCACUACUAUAGAAAUAAAAAUCCCUAUAAUCUAAAUCCCAAUGUGUUCCAUUUUUUUUUGUUCCUUUUUCUUAUGCGGUUUCAUAAUCCCUGAGAUAAGUAGUUCUGGCCCUAGAGUGUUAUAUAUAUUAGCGUCUGUAGCAUGUAUCAGGAACAUGUUAUCAUACCUGUGUCUUUUUACAGGUGACUGAUGUCCGGUGAGAAGGUGAAAGUGACCUAUACCCCCGUCAACUGCAAGAAAGGAACCACAGGACAGGUGACUGAUGUCCGGUGAGAAGGUGAAAGAGACCUAUACCCCCGUCAACUGCAAGAAAGGAACCACAGGACAGGUGACUGAUGUUCGGUGAGAAGGUGAAAGUGACCUAUACCCCCGUCAACUGCAAGAAAGGAACCACAGGACAGGUAAUUAAUAUUUAUAUUAAUUACUGAUAACAAUCAGGCUAGAUGUAAUAUCUAGACCUGCAGAGAUGUCAUAGUCUCCACCUUAUACAUGAACAUAUAUGUGUUGUUAAUAAGCAUAUCGUCUAUGGACAGCUUCUUAUAUAACACAACCAUGUCUCAGGUACAGAGAAUAGGAACAUUUAUGAUCCUUAAUAUCUGUUUUUUAUUUGUAGGAAUUCCUUUAUCAAUAUUUAAUAGAAUAGACCCAACUUACCCCAAGGUUUACAAGUUUCCUUUGGACAAACUGACUGCAGAUUUAGAACAUAACUGUAAUGUAAAGAAAAAUCUAUAAUUUGUUUUUGCUACAAAUAUAUAAUUAUAAAAAUAAUGAGAAUUAAAAAACUAUAUAUUAAAAGACUAGAGCCAUAAUAAUACAUAGCCUGUUGAAAUAAUCAUGAAGCGCAUAAUACACUGCACUUUAAUACUAGUGCAGUGUAUUAUAUGAGCGAUCUUAAGAUCGCUGUUAAAAGUCCCCUUUGUAAAAAAAAACGUUAAGGCUAGCUAGGAAUUUUCAUCCGGAAUAACUAUUGCCGGAGGUUCCAAGCGUACAUUACCGUCAUCAUAGAUGGCAAUGUAUUCUGCCCGUAUCCUAUGUAAAUGAAGUUAAAAAUAAACAAUUUAUAAAAUAAUUCACCCCACCCAAACCCCUACAAAAAAAUAAAUGUUUAUAUAAAAAAGAAUAAAAAAAAAUAACCCAUUUCUCCCCUCACAUAAGCUAUAAUUAAAAAUCGUCUGUCAACAUAAUGCUGACAGCGAUAAUACACUGCACUAUAACACUAUUGCAAUGUAUUAUAUGGGUGAUCACAAGAUCACUGGGGAAAGGCCUCUCAUCGAAUUUGUUAAAAAAAAGACCAAAAAAUAAAAAAUAAAGAAAAAAAAGUAAAAAAAAA